Molecule: ribosomal RNA, 54 nt
Filed under: 'Stylosanthes guianensis' witches'-broom phytoplasma
Lineage: Bacteria; Bacillati; Mycoplasmatota; Mollicutes; Acholeplasmatales; Acholeplasmataceae
Description: partial 23S ribosomal RNA
Source: RNAcentral
AAGGAAAUAAGAGCGCACUGUGGAUGCCUAGGCACCAAGAGCCGAUGAAGGACG